AAGUCAGCAUCUUGCACAGAGCCAGGCUCAGCUUCCUUCCUCUGCCUUGGCCUGAAGGCCCCAGAGCCAGGAGUAGGUAGCAGCUUCCCAAGGAUCUCCUGGCAGGAGGUGGGCAGCACAGCAGGGAAAGGAUGAGGGAGGGUCUGGAGACAGCAUCGCACACAGAGGGCAGAACGCAGAGUAUGAAUUUCUUCUGACACCUUCAGAUUUCUGUUCCAUGGUCAUAUCCUUUUUCUUUUUUUGUGUGUGCCUAUGCCCUAUGUCCUGGCUUUAUUAUUUAGGAAGAAUGGUCAACAUAAAUACAUUUGGCACAGAGAGUGGCCAGGGACCCCAGAGAGGAGAGCCAGAAGUCCUGGGAUGUUCCGGAAGCCCACUGUUGGAGUCUCAGAGAGAAAUGUGGGAUUCCAGAUGUUCACAAGCUUAUAAGGCAUUUGGGGAAACCACUGGAAGCUUGGCAGAUACAGUUUCAGGAAAGGAAAGAUCUGAAGACAGGGAAGAAAUGAAGUGGCUUCUUGAAGGACUUGUGCAAAGAAGGUGGAGAAUCCAGCUUUUUGAAA
Cebus imitator (Panamanian white-faced capuchin) is the source of this 557-nucleotide long non-coding RNA. RefSeq lists it as uncharacterized. The transcript is spliced from 2 exons. Lineage: Eukaryota; Metazoa; Chordata; Mammalia; Primates; Cebidae. The record is from RefSeq and is a predicted model, not a curated record.